UGUUUCAUUCCUAGUCCUUGUUUGAAUGUGGACUAUUGAAUAUAGGGCAACAUUUAAACAACCAAGAGAGACUAAAUUAAUUUAUAUUUAAAUCUAAUGACGGUCAGAUAGUCCACAGAAUGAGAGCCCAGGUUUGCAUGGGCUGUGUGAACCGCAGGUUUUCUGAGGAUGAGGGAAAUAUAGGAGAGACAUGAACUAUUUCUGUGAAGAUUCAGGGACAUUCAGGUGAAUAAAGGUGAUUGUAGGUCAUUUUUCUGUGAGUCAUAAGUUGCUAUUUUAUUGAGAGGCCCUUGGUAAAGCUGCAGUUAACAUUUAAGUUGCUGUUUGAUUCUUUUGUUCGUAUCAUACUGGUUUUCUUUUGAAUGUGAUAUUGUUUAGAGACAGGUUACAAGGUAGCCCAGUUUUAUUCAACUUAGAGGAAAGGCUGUCCUCCUAGGUUCUGAGUAUAGGUUAUCUGUUGGUCUAUGUUUAGGGUUCUUCUGAGUUCCUAUUUUGUUGUAUUGUCUUUAUCCAUCUUUUAAUGAAAACUAAAGAGAGGCUGUUUUCCAAAUGCGAUUUUAAAACACAAUUUUAAAGUGUUCUUCUCUAGCCUAGAUUUUUUUCUUGCGAUUUAAACCAUAAUCACAAAAAUCUCCAAAGUCCUUCGCAAACAAACAUUGUUUAUUCAUUUUCUAGUUACAGAACAAAAAUAUUAAUGCUACUUUAAAACACAGAUUUUGAUUUUUUUUCUCAAAGCAAAGCCUAUUUUGCAGAUACCCCAUCAUAAAUCACUGCUAUUUGUAAUAGUCACAUCCAUCAUUUGACCUUUCUACUGUAUAUAACAUGACAACAAAAAUCAUGCUCCAAAGAGAUAAUAUUCUUAUUAAAUUCUGUGUCCUAUUACAGUAUUUGGUUUUUAAAAUCAGUGAACUCUCACUUCAACAUUUUACUAAUAACAAGUGGCUAAUGCUUGAAAACAACAGAAAUGACCUUUUUCGGCCCCAUGUUAAUCCCUGUGUAAAGGACAAACAAGUGUUUUAGCAUAAACCAAUCCCAGAAUGUAACCAUGAUCUAAAAUAUACUAACAAUUAAACAAUAAUUCAGAGGCUUUGAUUUUAAGUACUCUGUGUAACAGAUUAAAAGAACGCCAUCCACGUAUUCCAGGAGAAAAACCAAUUAAGCCAACCAUAUAAUGAGCAAUGAUGCUCUCUCACAUCUGCCAGCAAAAACAAUCAACUUAGUCUAUCAUAGACUGGUAUGUUUCUACUCAGUAUUCUAUAUGGGUGACUUAAAUCAACAAACCAAGUGCACAGAACCAACACUUGGUUAUAUGGCUGUGAAGUAACAGCUUUAAGAACCAAAGGUCUUUCAAAUGGUUUAUGGCUGGUGCUUUAGAUCUUGGGUCAAAGUAAGAAGAAAGAAAAUUUAUAAUAUUUUUCACGCCAUAUUUUCUGGAUAUUUGUCCUCAUCUUGUGGUCCUAAUAUUACCUUUUAGUCAAUUUGAGAAAAUGUUAUAAACUUUUCAAAAAGUAAGUUGAGCUUAGGUGAUAGGCACUGAGUUCCACAUUUUCCUAAUAUUGGAUUUUUUCCCUGAAAAUUAAGACUGAAAGUAUCAUUGAUGUGUUAUCUGUUUUUCAUUUACUCCAACACUUAGAUAUUUACGCAAUCUUAGAACUAAUUUUAUUUAAAUCUUUAAAAUUAUUUCUGGAAGACCAUGUCAUCUCUGAGUGACUUUUUUUUGUUGCUUUGGAGGGAGGUAUCAGUACUCUAUUAAUAAUCCAAAUCAUGAUUCAUAAGGAAGAGUCAUUAUUGUAUCUUUAGGAACCAAAGAACAUGUAAAUUGGGGAUAUUUAUAUUUAGUCUUUCAGUUUCUCUGGGCCAAACAAAGAAAUGAGAAAUGAAACACGUAACAUUCAGUCAUACCCUUAAUACCUUUGUUCCUCAGGCUCCCCAGGACCUGAAGGAAAUAAAUGGAUUUCCAACAACUCCAAUGAGGCAAAUAAGAGCAAACUAAAAUUAGCAUUCAUUUAUUCAUACUCUCAACAAAUAUUGAGUGCCUUCUGUAUUCUCAGCACAAUUUUGAAAUAAUGCACAAAUGUGCAAUGUUAUAACUAGAUUUUCAUAUUAACUUUUCCACUUGGUGUAUGAUUUUCCUUCCGUUCAUAAAUCUAAGCCUAGUUUUCUGGGCCAAAUAACAAAAACCUAAGAGAUUUCAUGAGAAGUGUGCAUGUGUGUGUGUGUGUGUGUGUGAGUGUGUGCAUGUGUGCGUGUGUGUGUGUGUGUGUGUGUGUGUGUGUG
RNAcentral lists this long non-coding RNA (2277 nucleotides) under Homo sapiens (human). Its description in RNAcentral is "HSALNT0338381". Lineage: Eukaryota; Metazoa; Chordata; Mammalia; Primates; Hominidae. The record is from RNAcentral.